This 225-nucleotide ribosomal RNA is filed under the name Acinetobacter baumannii. Its description in RNAcentral is "partial 23S ribosomal RNA". It matches the Rfam family "Bacterial large subunit ribosomal RNA", at positions 1280 to 1509 of the family's 2925-position model. The record is from RNAcentral. Lineage: Bacteria; Pseudomonadati; Pseudomonadota; Gammaproteobacteria; Moraxellales; Moraxellaceae.
UAUCAGAAGUGCGAAUGCUGACAUGAGUAACGACAAUGCGAGUGAAAAACUCGCACGCCGAAAGACCAAGGUUUCCUGCGCAACGUUAAUCGACGCAGGGUUAGUCGGUCCCUAAGGCGAGGCUGAAAAGCGUAGUCGAUGGAAAACAGGUUAAUAUUCCUGUACUUCCAGUUAUUGCGAUGGAGGGACGGAGAAGGUUAGGCCAGCCUGGCGUUGGUUGUCCAG